UAAAACAACAACAACAACAACAAAAAAUAUACUCUGUGGUGGUCUCUGCGGUGUUCCACGCCAUCGUCUGCUGGGGUGGGGGGAGCAUGGCCAGUGACAGGAGCAGACCCAACAAAGCAACCAAGAGAGCCGACUCCACCCUCGGCAGCCAACCAACUCUGGGCCAGUGUCCAGUCUGCAUGGAUGAGCGAGGAUGCAUGAGAAUGGUUGUUUGUCUACGUGCAUCAUGGGGGACCUCAAGCCAGCUGGGAUAGGCUCCAGCUACAGGAUGGGUGGAGUUCUCCAAAUCUGUUUAUGAUAUCGGCUAAUCUGCAACUCCAGCUUCGCACUUGUGCCGAAAAUGCAAAUGAUAUCAGAAAACAUCUUCUCACGCGACUCGACAUUGCAAAGUAUGCCUCGCAGUGCGUUGGCACAGCGACACCUGACACGCCUGCUUACCUCUCCUCUGGCUGCUCCUUCGUCUGCACGCGCCGCAGGACACGCCCAUACACGCUCUGCUUCUGCUGCCACGCGCCAGCACAGCUGUGCGCAAUCAUCAAUCGACACACCUACUGCUGAUGACAUCACUCCCCAUAAAAGCCAGCGUGUCCAGAGAACCAACGCUGGAACGUAGUCUCUGCUUGCAUAUUCCCUCCGUCGCCUUGGAAGUGAGCUGUGCGCCUCACUUCUCUGGACCCCUCUGGAUUCUGAUUGCCUCCCUCGAUCCUCGACCCCCACUUUGGACUUGGACCUCUUGACGCCCCUCUCAGCCC
Molecule: long non-coding RNA, 752 nt
Organism: Entelurus aequoreus (snake pipefish)
Lineage: Eukaryota; Metazoa; Chordata; Actinopteri; Syngnathiformes; Syngnathidae
Exons: 3
Source: RefSeq, a predicted model, not a curated record